AGAGUUUGAUCAUGGCUCAGAUUGAACGCUGGCGGCAUGCCUUACACAUGCAAGUCGAACGGCAGCACGGGAGCAAUCCUGGUGGCGAGUGGCGAACGGGUGAGUAAUAUAUCGGAACGUGCCCAAUCGUGGGGGAUAACUACUCGAAAGAGUGGCUAAUACCGCAUACGACCUGAGGGUGAAAGCGGGGGAUCGCAAGACCUCGCGCGAAUGGAGCGGCCGAUAUCAGAUUAGGUAGUUGGUGGGGUAAAGGCUCACCAAGCCAACGAUCUGUAGCUGGUCUGAGAGGACGACCAGCCACACUGGGACUGAGGCACGGCCCAGACUCCUACGGGAGGCAGCAGUGGGGAAUUUUGGACAAUGGGCGCAAGCCUGAUCCAGCCAUGCCGCGUGCGGGAAGAAGGCCUUCGGGUUGUAAACCGCUUUUGUCAGGGAAGAAAAGUUCUGGGCUAAUACCCUGGGAUGAUGACGGUACCUGAAGAAUAAGCACCGGCUAACUACGUGCCAGCAGCCGCGGUAAUACGUAGGGUGCAAGCGUUAAUCGGAAUUACUGGGCGUAAAGCGUGCGCAGGCGGUUAUGCAAGACAGAUGUGAAAUCCCCGGGCUCAACCUGGGAACUGCAUUUGUGACUGCAUAGCUAGAGUACGGUAGAGGGGGAUGGAAUUCCGCGUGUAGCAGUGAAAUGCGUAGAUAUGCGGAGGAACACCGAUGGCGAAGGCAAUCCCCUGGACCUGUACUGACGCUCAUGCACGAAAGCGUGGGGAGCAAACAGGAUUAGAUACCCUGGUAGUCCACGCCCUAAACGAUGUCAACUGGUUGUUGGGAGGGUUUCUUCUCAGUAACGUAGCUAACGCGUGAAGUUGACCGCCUGGGGAGUACGGCCGCAAGGUUGAAACUCAAAGGAAUUGACGGGGACCCGCACAAGCGGUGGAUGAUGUGGUUUAAUUCGAUGCAACGCGAAAAACCUUACCUACCCUUGACAUGUCUAGAAGUUACCAGAGAUGGUUUCGUGCUCGAAAGAGAACUAGAACACAGGUGCUGCAUGGCCGUCGUCAGCUCGUGUCGUGAGAUGUUGGGUUAAGUCCCGCAACGAGCGCAACCCUUGUCAUUAGUUGCUACGAAAGGGCACUCUAAUGAGACUGCCGGUGACAAACCGGAGGAAGGUGGGGAUGACGUCAGGUCAUCAUGGCCCUUAUGGGUAGGGCUACACACGUCAUACAAUGGCCGGGACAGAGGGCUGCCAACCCGCGAGGGGGAGCUAAUCCCAGAAACCCGGUCGUAGUCCGGAUCGCAGUCUGCAACUCGACUGCGUGAAGUCGGAAUCGCUAGUAAUCGCGGAUCAGCUUGCCGCGGUGAAUACGUUCCCGGGUCUUGUACACACCGCCCGUCACACCAUGGGAGCGGGUUCUGCCAGAAGUAGUUAGCCUAACCGCAAGGGGGGCGAUUACCACGGCAGGGUUCGUGACUGGGGUGAAGUCGUAACAAGGUA
Molecule: ribosomal RNA, 1489 nt
Filed under: metagenome
Description: bacterial SSU rRNA
Rfam family: Bacterial small subunit ribosomal RNA
Source: RNAcentral